AUUGGACGCUGGCGGCAGGCCUAACACAUGCCAGUCGAGCGGAUGAAGGGAGCUUGCUCCUGGAUUCAGCGGCGGACGGGUGAGUAAUGCCUAGGAAUCUGCCUGGUAGUGGGGGAUAACGUCCGGAAACGGGCGCUAAUACCGCAUACGUCCUGAGGGAGAAAGUGGGGGAUCUUCGGACCUCACGCUAUCAGAUGAGCCUAGGUCGGAUUAGCUAGUUGGUGGGGUAAAGGCCUACCAAGGCGACGAUCCGUAACUGGUCUGAGAGGAUGAUCAGUCACACUGGAACUGAGACACGGUCCAGACUCCUACGGGAGGCAGCAGUGGGGAAUAUUGGACAAUGGGCGGAAGCCUGAUCCAGCCAUGCCGCGUGUGUGAAGAAGGUCUUCGGAUUGUAAAGCACUUUAAGUUGGGAGGAAGGGCAGUAAGUUAAUACCUUGCUGUUUUGACGUUACCAACAGAAUAAGCACCGGCUAACUUCGUG
This 484-nucleotide ribosomal RNA is filed under the name uncultured bacterium. RNAcentral's name for it is "partial 16S ribosomal RNA". It matches the Rfam family "Bacterial small subunit ribosomal RNA", at positions 30 to 507 of the family's 1533-position model. The record is from RNAcentral.